RNAcentral lists this ribosomal RNA (465 nucleotides) under Vreelandella stevensii. RNAcentral describes it as "partial 16S ribosomal RNA". It matches the Rfam family "Bacterial small subunit ribosomal RNA", at positions 338 to 795 of the family's 1533-position model. The record is from RNAcentral. Lineage: Bacteria; Pseudomonadati; Pseudomonadota; Gammaproteobacteria; Oceanospirillales; Halomonadaceae.
CCUACGGGUGGCAGCAGUGGGGAAUAUUGGACAAUGGGGGCAACCCUGAUCCAGCCAUGCCGCGUGUGUGAAGAAGGCCCUCGGGUUGUAAAGCACUUUCAGUGAGGAAGAACGCCUGGUGGUUAAUACCCAUCAGGAAAGACAUCACUCACAGAAGAAGCACCGGCUAACUCCGUGCCAGCAGCCGCGGUAAUACGGAGGGUGCGAGCGUUAAUCGGAAUUACUGGGCGUAAAGCGCGCGUAGGUGGCUUGAUAAGCCGGUUGUGAAAGCCCCGGGCUCAACCUGGGAACGGCAUCCGGAACUGUCAAGCUAGGGUGCAGGAGAGGAAGGUAGAAUUCCCGGUGUAGCGGUGAAAUGCGUAGAGAUCGGGAGGAAUACCAGUGGCGAAGGCGGCCUUCUGGACUGACACUGACACUGAGGUGCGAAAGCGUGGGUAGCAAACAGGAUUAGAUACCCUAGUAGUC